UGCAGUCGGACGGAGUUAACCAACAGCACUCAGCAGUUAGCCUUCAGCAAUCAGCAAAGAGGGGAUGAAGGCCUUGAGAGCUGAGGACUGAUAGCUGAAAGCUGUGUGCUGUUGGUUAACUUAGUGGCGGACGGGUGAGUAACACGUAGGUAACCUACCCUUAAGUGGGGGGCAACCCCGCGAAAGCGGGGCUAAUACCCCAUAAGACCACGGAUGGAGACAUUUGUGGGAAAAGGAGCGAUCUGCUUAGGGAUGGGCCUGCGGCCUAUCAGGUAGUUGGUGGGGUAAAGGCCUACCAAGCCGAAGACGGGUAGCCGGGCUGAGAGGUUGGACGGCCACACUGGAACUGAGACACGGUCCAGACUCCUACGGGAGGCAGCAGUGGGGAAUUUUGCACAAUGGGCGGAAGCCUGAUGCAGCGACGCCGCGUGGAGGAUGAAGGCCUUCGGGUUGUAAACUCCUUUUGUAGGGGACGAUAAUGACGGUACCCUACGAAUAAGCCACGGCUAACUCUGUGCCAGCAGCCGCGGUAAGACAGAGGUGGCGAGCGUUGUUCGGAAUCACUGGGCUUAAAGGGCGCGUAGGUGGUAGUGCAAGUCUGGGGUGGAAUCCUAUGGCUUAACCAUAGAAUUGCCCUGGAAACUGUAUUACUUGAGUCAGUGAGGGGAGGGUAGAAUUCCUGGUGUAGCGGUGA
This 694-nucleotide ribosomal RNA is filed under the name uncultured bacterium. RNAcentral describes it as "bacterial SSU rRNA". It matches the Rfam family "Bacterial small subunit ribosomal RNA", at positions 56 to 684 of the family's 1533-position model. The record is from RNAcentral.